UGGGGAAUUUUGGACAAUGGGCGAAAGCCUGAUCCAGCAAUGCCGCGUGUGUGAAGAAGGCCUUCGGGUUGUAAAGCACUUUUGUCCGGAAAGAAAUCCUCUGGGUUAAUACCUCGGGGGGAUGACGGUACCGGAAGAAUAAGCACCGGCUAACUACGUGCCAGCAGCCGCGGUAAUACGUAGGGUGCAAGCGUUAAUCGGAAUUACUGGGCGUAAAGCGUGCGCAGGCGGUUUUGUAAGACGGAUGUGAAAUCCCCGGGGCUUAACCUGGGAACUGCAUUCGUGACUGCAAGGCUAGAGUAUGGCAGAGGGGGGUUAGAAUUCCACGUGUAGCAGUGAAAUGCGUAGAGAUGUGGAGGAAUACCGAUGGCGAAGGCAGCCCCCUGGGCCAAUACUGACGCUCAUGCACGAAAGCGUGGGGGAGCAAACAGGAUUCAGAUACCCUGGUAGUCCACGCCCUAAACGAUGUCAACUAGUUGUUGGGGAUUCAUUUCCUUAGUAACGUAGCUAACGCGUGAAGUUGACCGCCUGGGG
Molecule: ribosomal RNA, 534 nt
Filed under: uncultured bacterium
Lineage: Bacteria
Description: partial 16S ribosomal RNA
Rfam family: Bacterial small subunit ribosomal RNA
Source: RNAcentral